CGUGGGGAACCUCGCCCCAUAGUCUGGGAUACCACUUGGAAACAGGUGCUAAUACCGGAUAAGAAAGCGGAUCGCAUGAUCAGCUUUUAAAAGGCGGCGUAAGCUGUCGCUAUGGGAUGGCCCCGCGGUGCAUUAGCUAGUUGGUAAGGUAAAGGCUUACCAAGGCGAUGAUGCAUAGCCGAGUUGAGAGACUGAUCGGCCACAUUGGGACUGAGACACGGCCCAAACUCCUACGGGAGGCAGCAGC
RNAcentral lists this ribosomal RNA (247 nucleotides) under uncultured Lactobacillus sp. RNAcentral describes it as "partial 16S ribosomal RNA". It matches the Rfam family "Bacterial small subunit ribosomal RNA", at positions 116 to 355 of the family's 1533-position model. Lineage: Bacteria; Bacillati; Bacillota; Bacilli; Lactobacillales; Lactobacillaceae. The record is from RNAcentral.